GCCAGGCGCGGUGGCACAUGCCUGUAGUCCCAGCUACUCGGGAGGCUAAGGCUGCAGGAUAACUUGAGCCCAGGAGUUCUGGGCUGUGGUGUGCUAUGCCAGUUGGGUGUCUGCACUAAGUUUGGCAUCAAUAUGGUGACCUCCAGGGAGUGGGGACCACCAGGUUGUCUAAGGAGGGAUGAACCUGCCCAGGUUGGAAACAGAGCAGGUCAAAACUCCUGUGCUGAUCAGUAAUGGGAUCGCACCAGUGAAUAGUCACUGCACUCCAGCCUGGGCAACAUAGCAAGACUCCAUCUCUA
Molecule: unclassified non-coding RNA, 299 nt
Organism: Callithrix jacchus (white-tufted-ear marmoset)
Lineage: Eukaryota; Metazoa; Chordata; Mammalia; Primates; Cebidae
Rfam family: Metazoan signal recognition particle RNA
About the family: The signal recognition particle (SRP) is a universally conserved ribonucleoprotein. It is involved in the co-translational targeting of proteins to membranes. The eukaryotic SRP consists of a 300-nucleotide 7S RNA and six proteins: SRPs 72, 68, 54, 19, 14, and 9.
Source: Ensembl